This 602-nucleotide ribosomal RNA is filed under the name uncultured archaeon. RNAcentral's name for it is "bacterial SSU rRNA". It matches the Rfam family "Archaeal small subunit ribosomal RNA", at positions 5 to 612 of the family's 1478-position model. The record is from RNAcentral.
CGGUUGAUCCUGUCGGAGGUUACUGCUAUCGAGGUUCGACUAAGCCAUGCGAGUCGAAUGCCGCAAGGCAUGGCGUACUGCUCAGUAACACGUGGACAACCUACCCUUAGGACUGGGAUCACCCCGGGAAACUGGGAAUAAUCCCCGAUAGUCCUCGAAGGCUGGAAUGCAUCGAGGGCGAAAGCUCCGGCGCCUAAGGAUGGGUCUGCGGCCUAUCAGGUAGUAGUGGGUGUAGCGUACCUACUAGCCUACGACGGGUACGGGUUGUGAGAGCAAGAGCCCGGAGAUGGAUUCUGAGACACGAAUCCAGGCCCUACGGGGUGCAGCAGGCGCGAAAACUUUACAAUGCUGGCAACAGCGAUAAGGGAACCUCGAGUGCCAGGUUACAAAUCUGGCUGUCGAGAUGCCUAAAAAGCAUUUCAUAGCAAGGGCCGGGCAAGACCGGUGCCAGCCGCCGCGGUAACACCGGCGGCUCGAGUGGUAACCGUUAUUAUUGGGUCUAAAGGGUCUGUAGCCGGCCGGAUAAGUCUCUUGGGAAAUCUGGCAGCUCAACUGUCAGGCUAUCAGGAGAUACUGUCUGGCUUGAUGCCGGGAGAGGUGAG